RNAcentral lists this ribosomal RNA (364 nucleotides) under uncultured bacterium. RNAcentral's name for it is "bacterial SSU rRNA". It matches the Rfam family "Bacterial small subunit ribosomal RNA", at positions 1 to 334 of the family's 1533-position model. The record is from RNAcentral.
CUAUGCGCCUUGCCAGCCCGCUCAGCAGUAGUUUGAUCCUGGCUCAGGACGAACGCUGGCGGCGUGCUUAACACAUGCAAGUCGAACGGGCCCGCCCCUUUGGGGGUGGGUUGAGUGGCGAACGGGUGAGUAUCGCGUGAGUAACCUGCCCCCUGCUCCUGGAUAACUGCUUGAAAGGGCGGCUAAUACGGGGUGUGCCGGCUGGUCCGCAUGGGCCUGGUCGGGAUAGUUUCAUCUUCGGGUGUUCCGGUGGGGGAUGGGCUCGCGGCCUAUCAGCUUGUUGGUGGGUGAUGGCCACCAAGGCGGUGACGGGUAGCCGGCCUGAGAGGGUGGGCGGCCACACUGGGACUGAGACACGGCCCAG